This is an RNA transcript of Carya illinoinensis, 1615 nucleotides long. It is a transcript of the gene named coiled-coil domain-containing protein 93, with no coding region annotated. The record is from RefSeq and is a predicted model, not a curated record. The transcript has 11 exons. NCBI's taxonomy places the organism in Eukaryota, Viridiplantae, Streptophyta, Magnoliopsida, Fagales, Juglandaceae.
ACAGAAUUAGCGAGCCCAACUUCCACUAUCUACAUUCGACAAUUACAAAGCAGUCCGAAUGGGGGGUUAGCUAUGAAAGGGAUAAGGACUCGAAACUCCUUCUUUGCCUCAAACGAGCGGGUCGAAACGACAUGGCCGAGUCUCACUUCCUGUCCGAGUCCGGAUCACCGAUUUCUCUUGGGCGGAUUUAUGAUCUUCUCCUCUCAGUCGGUUAUGCCGACGCCGUUAAAACCGAUAUAUCUGCCUCCGAAAAGCUCUGUUCAGGCAUCGUCUGGUGCAUCGCUGCCGUUAACGACGAAACCCUAACACACUUGGAGGAAAUUGAGAUUGAAAAUCGCAUUGAGGAAGCUCUGAGGUUAAUCGGUUGCCCACACCAUGUUAAAGCUUCUCAAAUUGAAGUUCUAGACUUCAAAGCCAUUUUUCCCGUCGUACAGUGGCUUGUUAAUCGUGUUAGGACCUUACAAGAUGAUGACAGGGAUCAUGAGAAUCAACAAGAGCUCGGGCUCGAUGUUAUGAACAAAAUUAAACUUCUACGAGAGAGAAUAGAUAAGGAGGGUGCUAAUAUUGCUGUGCAGAAAUUGAUACCACUUUUGGGAUCGUUAAAGAAUCUGGAAAUUCAAGAAUCUGAAUUCCAGUCCAAUUGUAAUGUAAAACGCUCGGAACUGCAAGCUGAUGUUAUUGAAUUGGAGGGAAGAAUAGCAAGUGACUGGGAUGGCAAGAUUCCCUCUGAUAGUCUCAAUCAUUCUUUGGUUGAAUCUUUGGAGGAACUGCAUGCAGCAAAAAAGGAACUUGCAGCUAGAUGUAGGGCAAUUAUUGCUGUGAAGCGGCAGCUUGAUGACGUGCCAUCCCAAUCGGAACUCAUCCAGUAUGAACGCCGAUUUUCGGAGCUGUAUGUCCAUAUCCAGAAAAAACAUCGCCAAACUCGUAAAAAUUAUGGUACCUAUAAUGCUCUUUUGGAGAUAAAAGAACUGAUGCUAAAGGAAACAUCCUUAUUGAAUUCAAUAAGUUCCCAGUUCCAAGAAGCCAUUACUAAUGCUGAUGGUCGCAAGAAACUUAUUGAUUCCAUGGAGGGAAUUGUGAAGACCAUUCAACAGAAACAAGAAAAGGUCCAACUUGGGUUUCAAGAAGAGCAGAAGGUUUGUGAUGCUCUCAAACAGCAAAAUGCUGCUGCUUCUGCAGAGCAAAGACGCUGUUACACGCUGUUAAAAGCUUUCCAGGAGGAAUGCGCAAAGAAUGAAAAACUGCGCUGCCAAAGUUCUACAUAAUGCUUACCUGUUGUGUCAAGCAAGAGGAGGUGAUUAGUAUUGCAGGUCAAAUUUCUAUGCGCAGAGCAACCCAGCCAUUUGUCUCCAAGCGUCCAGUGUGAGCACCAGCCAAUGAACGGCACCCAUCCACACUCGGUGUUCAAAUGCCCAAACAAUCCGUGUAAGGACAAUUUUAGAUUGGCAAUAGGUGUAGGCAAUGUAGGACCACCACCCAUGUGUCCUGCAUUCUCCUAUUAAAUCGAAAACUUCAGAAGGCAUACAUAAAUGGCUAAUAUACGUGGAGAUUUCUCCGUAUCAAUUAUUUGAAACUUCACAAGAAUAUUAUUGGACUGAUAUUUAUCUAUAAACAA